CAGCUAUACAUGCAGUCGAGCGAACGGACGAGAAGCUUGCUUCUCUGAUGUUAGCGGCGGACGGGUGAGUAACACGUGGAUAACCUACCUAUAAGACUGGGAUAACUUCGGGAAACCGGAGCUAAUACCGGAUAAUAUUUUGAACCGCAUGGUUCAAAAGUGAAAGACGGUCUUGCUGUCACUUAUAGAUGGAUCCGCGCUGCAUUAGCUAGUUGGUAAGGUAACGGCUUACCAAGGCAACGAUGCAUAGCCGACCUGAGAGGGUGAUCGGCCACACUGGAACUGAGACACGGUCCAGACUCCUACGGGAGGCAGCAGUAGGGAAUCUUCCGCAAUGGGCGAAAGCCUGACGGAGCAACGCCGCGUGAGUGAUGAAGGUCUUCGGAUCGUAAAACUCUGUUAUUAGGGAAGAACAUAUGUGUAAGUAACUGUGCACAUCUUGACGGUACCUAAUCAGAAAGCCACGGCUAACUACGUGCCAGCAGCCGCGGUAAUACGUAGGUGGCAAGCGUUAUCCGGAAUUAUUGGGCGUAAAGCGCGCGUAGGCGGUUUUUUAAGUCUGAUGUGAAAGCCCACGGCUCAACCGUGGAGGGUCAUUGGAAACUGGAAAACUUGAGUGCAGAAGAGGAAAGUGGAAUUCCAUGUGUAGCGGUGAAAUGCGCAGAGAUAUGGAGGAACACCAGUGGCGAAGGCGACUUUCUGGUCUGUAACUGACGCUGAUGUGCGAAAGCGUGGGGAUCAAACAGGAUUAGAUACCCUGGUAGUCCACGCCGUAAACGAUGAGUGCUAAGUGUUAGGGGGUUUCCGCCCCUUAGUGCUGCAGCUAACGCAUUAAGCACUCCGCCUGGGGAGUACGACCGCAAGGUUGAAACUCAAAGGAAUUGACGGGGACCCGCACAAGCGGUGGAGCAUGUGGUUUAAUUCGAAGCAACGCGAAGAACCUUACCAAAUCUUGACAUCCUUUGACAACUCUAGAGAUAGAGCUUUCCCCUUCGGGGGACAAAGUGACAGGUGGUGCAUGGUUGUCGUCAGCUCGUGUCGUGAGAUGUUGGGUUAAGUCCCGCAACGAGCGCAACCCUUAAGCUUAGUUGCCAUCAUUAAGUUGGGCACUCUAAGUUGACUGCCGGUGACAAACCGGAGGAAGGUGGGGAUGACGUCAAAUCAUCAUGCCCCUUAUGAUUUGGGCUACACACSUGCUACAAUGGACAAUACAAAGGGCAGCGAAACCGCGAGGUCAAGCAAAUCCCAUAAAGUUGUUCUCAGUYCGGAUUGUAGUCUGCAACUCGAMUACAUGAAGCUGGAAUCGCUAGUAAUCGUAGAUCAGCAUGCUACGGUGAAUACKUUCCCGGGUCUUGUACACACCGCCCGUCACACCACGAGAGUUUGUAACACCCGAAGCCGGUGGAGUAACCUUUUAGGAGCUAGCCGUCGAA
This 1433-nucleotide ribosomal RNA is filed under the name Staphylococcus aureus. RNAcentral's name for it is "bacterial SSU rRNA". Lineage: Bacteria; Bacillati; Bacillota; Bacilli; Caryophanales; Staphylococcaceae. The record is from RNAcentral.